GAUGAAUGCUGGCGGCGUGCCUAAUACAUGCAAGUCGAGUGAACGGACGAGAAGCUUGCUUUUCUGAUGUUAGCGGCGGACGGGUGAGUAACACGUGGAUAACCUACCUAUAAGACUGGGAUAACUUCGGGAAACCGGAGCUAAUACCGGAUAAUAUUUUGAACCGCAUGGUUCAAAAGUGAAAGACGGUCUUGCUGUCACUUAUAGAUGGAUCCGCGCUGCAUUAGCUAGUUGGUAAGGUAACGGCUUACCAAGGCAACGAUGCAUAGCCGACCUGAGAGGGUGAUCGGCCACACUGGAACUGAGACACGGUCCAGACUCCUACGGGAGGCAGCAGUAGGGAAUCUUCCGCAAUGGGCGAAAGCCUGACGGAGCAACGCCGCGUGAGUGAUGAAGGUCUUCGGAUCGUAAAACUCUGUUAUUAGGGAAGAACAUAUGUGUAAGUAACUGUGCACAUCUUGACGGUACCUAAUCAGAAAGCCACGGCUAACUACGUG
This 497-nucleotide ribosomal RNA is filed under the name uncultured bacterium. RNAcentral's name for it is "partial 16S ribosomal RNA". It matches the Rfam family "Bacterial small subunit ribosomal RNA", at positions 28 to 507 of the family's 1533-position model. The record is from RNAcentral.